UACGUAGGGUGCAAGCGUUGUCCGGAAUUAUUGGGCGUAAAGAGCUCGUAGGCGGUUUGUCGCGUCUGCUGUGAAAACUCGGGGCUUAACCCCGGGCCUGCAGUGGGUACGGGCAGACUAGAGUGCGGUAGGGGAGACUGGAAUUCCUGGUGUAGCGGUGAAAUGCGUAGAGAUGUGGAGGAACACCGAUGGCGAAGGCAGCCCCCUGGGCUGACACUGACACUCAGGCACGAAAGCGUGGGGAGCAAACAGG
RNAcentral lists this ribosomal RNA (253 nucleotides) under uncultured bacterium. RNAcentral describes it as "partial 16S ribosomal RNA". It matches the Rfam family "Bacterial small subunit ribosomal RNA", at positions 524 to 776 of the family's 1533-position model. The record is from RNAcentral.